CAGCUGUGCGGCCGUAGCGUCACCCGAGGCGUCGAGCACCGUCGUGUGCGGGCGGAGCUCCGGCCGCUGAGUCACCUGUGUGUGAGGCAGCGCCCUGACCACCAGUCGCCGUCGCCCAAAGCGUCGACGCACCGUCGCAGAUGCGGGAGGGGUAGCCACCCGGCCAUCGAGCCGCCCUCCCCUGGAGAGAGCGCCGCGUCGUCGAGUCGCCAUGGUGCGGCUAGGUUAUGGAGGCGGUCAAUUUUCUCAUACGGGGUAACUAAAUCCUGGAGUAGUUGAAUAGAGAGAGGGGAUUAUUUGCUCAUGUGCGUUUAAGUGGAUUGUUAGGAAUCCCACCUGUAAUCCAUGACGUCCCCUCCUGAUCCAACAGUCCACGAUAGAAAUUUUCAGAUUUUCACCGAAUAGUCAUUUUCACCUGAUACUUCGC
This 427-nucleotide long non-coding RNA is filed under the name Triticum aestivum (bread wheat). RNAcentral describes it as "long non-coding RNA (TAES_LNC015384)". Lineage: Eukaryota; Viridiplantae; Streptophyta; Magnoliopsida; Poales; Poaceae. The record is from RNAcentral.